RNAcentral lists this ribosomal RNA (564 nucleotides) under uncultured bacterium. RNAcentral's name for it is "bacterial SSU rRNA". It matches the Rfam family "Bacterial small subunit ribosomal RNA", at positions 337 to 917 of the family's 1533-position model. The record is from RNAcentral.
UCCUACGGGAGGCAGCAGUGGGGAAUUUUGCGCAAUGGGGGAAACCCUGACGCAGCAACGCCGCGUGGAGGAUGAAGUCUCUUGGGACGUAAACUCCUUUCGAUAGGGACGAUAAUGACGGUACCUAUAGAAGAAGCCCCGGCUAACUUCGUGCCAGCAGCCGCGGUAAUACGAGGGGGGCAAGCGUUGUUCGGAAUUAUUGGGCGUAAAGGGUGCGUAGGCGGUUUGGCAAGUUUGGUGUGAAAUCUUCGGGCUCAACUCGAAGUCUGCAUCGAAAACUGCCGGGCUUGAGUAUGGGAGAGGUGAGUGGAAUUUCCGGUGUAGCGGUGAAAUGCGUAGAUAUCGGAAGGAACACCUGUGGCGAAAGCGGCUCACUGGACCAUAACUGACGCUGAUGCACGAAAGCUAGGGGAGCAAACAGGAUUAGAUACCCUGGUAGUCCUAGCCCUAAACGAUGAUUGCUUGAUGUGGCAGGUACCCAAUCCUGCCGUGUCGAAGCUAACGCGAUAAGCAAUCCGCCUGGGGAGUACGGUCGCAAGGCUGAAACUCAAAUGAAUUGACGGA